GAUGAAGAACGCAGCGAAAUGCGAUAAGUAGUGUGAAUUGCAGAAUUCAGUGAAUCAUCGAAUCUUUGAACGCACAUUGCGCCCUUUGGUAUUCCUUAGGGCAUGCCUGUUCGAGCGUCAUUUGAAACCUCAAGCUCAGCUUGGUGUUGGGUGUCUAUCCCCGCCUCACCGCGGGGACUCGCCUCAAAAUCAUUGGCGGCCGGUACGUUGGCUUCGAGCGCAGCAGAAACGCGAACUCGAGGCCCGGCGGAUCGGCGACCAGAAGUCACUUCUUCACAGUUUGACCUCGGAUCAGGUAGGGAUACCCGCUGAACUUAAGCAUAUCAAUAAGCGGAGGA
This 338-nucleotide unclassified non-coding RNA is filed under the name soil metagenome. RNAcentral's name for it is "partial contains 5.8S ribosomal RNA, internal transcribed spacer 2, and large subunit ribosomal RNA". The stretch from base 1 to 120 matches the Rfam family "5.8S ribosomal RNA", at positions 35 to 154 of the family's 154-position model. The record is from RNAcentral.